AUGACUUUACAUGUGGAAGGUUGUAAGCCAAGAAUUAAAACAGGUAAGGAUUUGCAUAGUUGGCAUACACACUUGGCUGUGUUGGAGGUUUUCAAGCCAAGAGAAGUGCCAACUUGGCUAAUCCUUGUUUUGCAUAUUUGUCUCUAUUUAUUAGCUGCUCCCUCCAGCCCCGGACGCCUUCGAAUCGAAACAAACUAAAGCUCUUCCAUCUCUGUUUUUCUUCUUUCGAUCUGCCCAUCAGCCUUAGCUUGUUAUCAAGUAUCAACACCAUAUUUCUUCAUUAAAAGGUAAAUACCAUUUAUUACUAUUUAAAGAUUUUAUUUUAUUACAUGUAUAUUGCACCUCAUCUAUUAUUACUUGAUCAGAAUAGAUAAUGAAAUAUUGACGUACGCAAACCCUUGAGGUUACAACACAUAAUUUGCUAUUCUUUUUGCUUCAUUUAUUUAGUUAAAAAAAUAUAUAUAGGAUUAAACUAAAAACUAUGGGUUGUAGUGCAGUGAUGAGACUGCUUCACUCUUAAUCAGAGGUUUCGGAGUCGAACCCUAGGUAUGACAAUUUUUUUUGUUGGGAGCACCACCCCCAAAUGGGGCCUGUAGUGCGUGAUCCGGAUUUAGUCGGGGCUCCAACAUGAACUCCGAACACCGAAUGAGAAACCAAAAAAAAAAAUUAAACAAAACUAAGAAAAUAUGAUGAUGUGGUUGUGACUCAUGGGGAUGAUUAUGCAUUUAUGCUAAUUACUAAGCUUGAGACUAGACUUUUAUUGACACUUCACAGUCAUAGACGCACGAUGAUUGGACAAGUUUUGAAGAGGAUGCGAUCCGCGAUAACAAAGUAAAGCUAACAACUUUUAAAAUUAACCAAAAAAAAAUUGUGAUUUUCUUUUAUGUUCAAUUAAAUAUAAUUCCUUAAAAUCCUUGAUAACAAAUAAUUAACAUUAAUUAUAUAUUUAGAUAAUUUAAUAGUAACUGAAUCGUGUUAUCGUCAUCCUUUCUCAUUAUCAUCUACCAUUAUUAGCAUCAAAAUUCAAAAUCAUCAUUCUUGUGAUCAGUCACUAUCACUAACCACUAUUUACAAUCAUCAUCACAAUAACUGCAAAUUAUCACCUUCCGUCACUACUUAUAUAUAACCAACCACCAUCUUUAUUCACUAUCUCUAUUAGCUACUACCGCCAUAAAUCUCUAUUGUUAAUCCUCAUCACCAUUAGAAUAACUACUAUAUGUUACCACCCUACAAUCAUCCCCACUAGAUAUCCACAAACAUUACUACUAUUCAUCAAUAUCAUCGACCACCUUAAAAAAAUAUUUUUUUAUUGAUAUUUACAGGGUAUUCAAUUAAUUUAGUAUUUUAUUUAAUUUUAUAUUUCUUAAUUUCAAAAUGAAGACAAAUUUUAUAUAUAGAAGUGUUAGAAAAACAAAUAACUUUAAUUAUAUAGUAUUCAGAUCUUAAUAUAACAUCUUAGUAAUUCAUAUAUGUAUUUAGAUUCAUACAGCUAAAUUAUAAUCUACAUUUUAAUGAAAACGCAUUAGGUCUUCUUUAUUGUAAAACUAAUUAAUCAUUCACGUCUAUUCAGACUCAUUAAGUAACUAUACCAUUAAAAUAACAAACACACUUAAUGAUUAUGAUUUGAAUGAUUAAGAUUCAAACCUAAAAAAUAAAUGAACUUAAUGAUUGAUAUGUUAUUAGUGACUAAUAUUUGAAUAAUUAAGUUUAAAACCAUUGUUAAGUGUGUGUGUAUAUUAGAGAUGAUUUAGAAUUUUAAUUUGGGAAAAUGGUUUGAUAUAUCCAUCGACUUUGUCAUUUGGAGGAAUAUAGUUAAUAUAUCCUUUGUUAUAAAAGUAGUUCAUAUAUACUCCUAUUAUUACACAAAUGGAAGUGAAAAAAUUAAUUUGAAUUAAUUUUUUAAUUUUUUUUAAAAAAAAAACAUUCAUGUAGUAUAUUUGAUCCUUCGAAUUCUCACGCAUAUUUUUUUUUUUACUUCUUUGAUUCAAUGACUAAUUUGAAUUUACUAUUUUGAUGGUCAAAUUUAUUGUCACUAAAUUUCUUGAUUUUUUUUUAUCAUAUAUGCCCUAAUUUUUAUUUUUUUAUAUAUACAAAAAAUAAAUUAUAAUAUAUUCGGAAUUUUUUAAUUUUUUUCUUCUUAUUUUCUCUUUUCCAUUCACUCUUCUUCUUUUCUAAUUCUCAUAUUAUUACACUAAAGAAUGAACAAAAAAUAUUAAAAUAAGAAUAAGAAACUCAAAUAAUGAAUUUCGAAGAAGUCAAAAAAUAUAUCAUGUGUGAAAAAGAUUAUAUAUAUCCCUACAUGAUUUUUUAAAAGAAUAAAUUAUUAUUUUUCACUUUCGUUAAAUAAAAAGGGGAAAAUGGUCAAAUAUGCCCCUAAACUAUGCGAAAAUAUCUAGCUAUACCCUCCGUUUGAAGUUUGGCUCAUUUGUGCCCUCGCCGUCCAACUUUUCACCCAUAAAUGCCCUUGUAGACGUUGCUUUGCUGGAAAUAACCAACUCAUUUUUCUUUUCUUUAAAUAACAAAUGAAAUUGCCACAUCCCCUUUUAAUUACCACAUGUCAUUUAUUUAUGUUAAAAAUGAAUACACCUCUUUUAAAUAGAAUAUCCGACCUGUAAAUCCUAUCCGACCCAAAUUUCUUUGGUGGAUAUUUCACAUAAGCUGAUAAAUCAUAUAUGACCAAAAUCUAUUUGGUCGGAGAAACGCCAUCUCCAACCAAACUCAUCGUUUUCUCCUAAAAGUAAAACACCAUUAAAGGUGAGCUUCUAGCUCUAACCAUGAGCAAACAAUAGAGCUCCAAUGAGCUCACUGAUUCACAUAACCUCGGACAAACAAUCACCAAAUAGCUCCGACCACCACGAGCUCCAGAACACCACCCCCAAGGUAGCCGACAAAACACCAACCCACACACCUCACUGGUCUGGCAAGACAGCUAGCAAACGACCCCAAAAUAGUUGUAUUUCAGAUGUCAAAUGUUAUCUCAUUUUAGAUCUGGUCGGAGGAAUUGAAACUCCGGCCAUCUUGGGUUGGAUAUGAUUUACGGGUCGAAUAUCCUAUUUAAAAGAGGUGUAUUCAUUUUUUAAAUAUAAAUAAAUGACACGUGGUAAUUAAAAGGGGAUGUUGCGAUUCCAUUUGGUAUUUAAAGAAAGGGAAAAUUAAUUGGUUAUUUCCAGCAAAACAACUAACGUCUACAAGGGAAUAUAUGGGCGAAAAGUUGAACGGCGAGGGCACAUAUGAGCCAAACUUCAAACAUAGGGUAUAUCUAGACAUUUUUGUAUAGUUUAGGGGCAUAUUUGACCCUUUUUCCAAUAAAAAAAGAUAUGUAUAAGCCACUAUUGUAACUAUAUAUAUGUGUGUGUGUGUGUAUGGAAUGAUUUGAAAAUGAUAUUAUACAUGAUAAAAUUGUAAUGUAUCAUAAAGGUGAGACGAACAAAAUAUACAUUAAUUUAAAAAUCAAAAUCAACGAGAUACAUUAAAAGAUCUGCUGAAAGUAACAAAAAAAAAUCAACAAUUUGAUUUGCUAAAAGCAAUAAAAAAUAAAAAAUGAUGAAGAAAUUCUUCCACACUUUCUCCUUUUUUCUGUAUCAACUCUUGUAGUCACCAUGGAUCUCGACCCAAAACAUUACCGGAGCCACCAACCACUCUUGAUAAAAUUGUAAUGUAUCAUAAUGUUGAAACAAAUGCAUUAUACAUUAAUUUAAGAAACAGCAAGAAAAAUAUAAUCAUUAAGAAAACUGAACUCAAAUGUAUCAGAAAAAAGAUGAACAACAAAAAAUCUGAAAAAAGUCAACAAUCUAUUGAAAGCCAAAAAAAAAAAAUGAAGAAAUCCUUCUACACUUUGUCUUUUGCUCUGUAUCAAUUCCCGUAGCCUUUUAUCACUUUCAACAAUGACGUCACUCAUGGAUCUCGAUCCAAUGCCCUUACCGGUGCCACCAACAACUCGACUUUUUCUUCUUUUUUGGGCGUUUUUUCCACAAUCGAUUUUAAUGUUGAAGAUGCAUCCUUCUUCGACUAAAUUUGUAGAUGAAAAACUAAAGAAAUAUAAAAAAGAUUGAUACCGGAUGAAGUGGAAAGAAAAAAAUGGAUGAAGAAGAAGAUGAAGAACCACCGCUUCAAUAACUUGCAAUUGGUAAAUCAGAGAAAAGAUUUGAAAUUCAAAAAUAGAGUGAUGGAGAUAAUUGGUGAUAUCAUUGAGUGAUUUUAGGUGUGAAAAAAGGAAAAAAAUCUUUGGGUAAUAGUAUAUAGUGAUGUAUCCGAAAAAGUGAGAGAAAUUAUGAAAAAGAGGGAUUUUUGUAAUUUUUUAGAAUGAUAGGGAGUAAUAAAAAAUAGGAUAAAAAAGGAAAUGUAGUUAGGUAAUUUUUCCAAAACUUAAUGUAACCUCAAGCAUAUCAAAUUUCAGCAAAAGAAGAGGUAAAUAAAUCACAACCAUCUUUUACAACCAAAUUUAAAUUAUAAUACCCACAUCUAAGAUGGAAACAACGGCCAAUAAGUAGGCACAAACUUUUAAAGCAUAGUCUUGCAGUGAGAUCAGUAAAAAUAUUAUGACAGUUGAAAUUCUGUUAACAAGACCAAAAUAUUGUACAAAUCCUAAAAUAGUUGUACCUAUAUAAGCUCAAGUGUAUUUUUCACUAACAAAUUGUAAUGAAUAAUACUUUUGUGCAAAUUUCAUUUAUGAUCAAUUUAGGGGUAUGCCAAUGAUGUGGAAGUGAGGCUUGACACACGUAUCUUGGGUCUAUAAUUCAGGAGAGUGGGGAUAUCGAUGAUGAUAUCACACAUUGUAUUGGUGCGACGUGGAUUAAGUGGAGGUUUGCCUUUGGAGUCUUGUGUGAUAAAAAAGUACCACUGAAACUCAAAGGUAAGUUUUAUAGAGUGAUGGUUAGACCGGCACUGUAUGGCAUGGAGUGUUAGCCAGUCAAAAGCUCCUAUCUCCAGAAAUGUAUCUUGUAGAGAUGAGGAUGUUGAUGUGGAUGUGUGGUCAUACUGAAAGCAAUAAGAUUAGAAAUGAGGAUAUUUAAAUGAAGGUGGGAGUGACAUAUGUGAUGGACAAGUAGAGGGAAGCAAGACUGAGAUGAUUUGGAUAUGUGAAGAGGAGAUGCGUAGAUGCACAAGUAGGAGGUGCGAGAGGUUGGUUAUCAAGGGUUCAUGGAGAGACAGAGGUAGACCUAUGAUGCACUUGUAGGUUACCGAUGACAUGACCUUAGAUAGGAAGGUGUGGAGGACUCGUAUUAGGGUUGAAGGUUAGUAGGUAUUGUAGUUGGCUUGCUUAGGGUGGUUGGUGGUUGACAUAGAACUAGUUGUUGUAUUGUAGCUCUUGUUUUCAAUAAUGUAUCCUAGUAUGAUGUGUAUUGUGUUUUGAUUAUCAAAUUAUUUUGUUGUUUUGCUCUCUUCUGGUAGACUUCACAUUAUCAUUAUCUCCUUGUUACUUGUUAUAUUUUCUUCAUUGUCUCUUUUGUACUUUGCACUUCAAUAUAGUCUUUUGGAAACCUCUCUAUCUCCAUGAGGUAGUGAUAAGGUUUGCAUACAUUCUAUCCUCCUCAGAUCGCACUUACAAAAUUUUACUUGGUAUGUUGUUAUUUUUAGUGAUAUGUAAAUAUUAAAUAAUCAUUGUUAUUAGGACUACAACCUAUAUCAAAAGUGACGGACACUACAAUCUAAUUGAUAAAAUAACGUAAAUAUUCACCCUAAAAUUUAAGAACAUUAUUUCUAAUUAUAGCUCUAAAAAACCUCUAUAAGGUUAUAUGUAUCUUGUAUAAAAUGUACAAAAUCGGGGUGAGCAGAAAAAUGAAUUAGAGGAAAGAUAUUUAGAAUUUAGGUUAUAUAUAUCUUCAAGUCAUUUUGCUGAUGCAGUAGUCCUUUGGUAUAGCCACAUUUGUCCCAAAAUUUUAAUGGACGGAAAUGAAUUAGAUUGAUAUGGACUAUCAAACAUAAACGGAUUAGACGGGUCAUAAUUUUAUGGACUAAUUGUCACCCUUACUUUUGAUAUAACCUCUAAUUUACAUAGUCAUUGCAUUACAUACAAGUUAUCGAGACGCUGCAGCAGCAUCUCUUUAUUUAUCCUUAUACAGUUUUUCAGUGUUUCAACCAUACCAAGACAACAUACAAGAGAAGACUACAUAGUAGCACACCCUAGUUAGAUGCAGCAGAUAUAACCUCGGCAGGACAUAUCCCACGGCAAGAGGAGUGGCUGCUCUGCUAUAUUUUGGGAAGGCUGUUAUUUAUAUCUUGAGCUUCUAUCUGAUAUGUGAUGCCUUCAGUGUGUUUAGACUCUAGAGAAAAUUCAGGGUCACCCUCUGUUGUCCACAAUCCAUAUGGGUUGGUGCAAUGUUAUUUAAAUUCAUUGCCAUCUCAUUUUCUUCUCUGUUCUUUAUGGUACCUAUCUGUAAACAUACUAGUCAUUCACACACAUGUACCAAAUAUCCACACAAAUCACCCUAAUAUUUGUUUAGCCGAAUUGCAGCACUUACCUCAUCCUCCAGAACUUUGUUUUCCUCUAUCAGCUGCUUUUCCUGCAGAUAAAUAGUUUCCAGUCAAGUCUAGCAUGUUAAACAUAAUCCCAAUGUAACAACAUAAACCUGUGUCCAGAAAAUGCUGAUAUAUGGCACACUAAUAUUGCAUAAACUUCAGUUGAUAAUAGGAUUCCUUAAAAAAAUCUAUAGAGCUAAAAAUAACUGUAAACAGCAUGAUGCCAGUAUGCUAGUGAACUUGAAGAGCCAAACUAGCUCCAUGAUUUUCUCAAUUCCAUAACAAGUCCAGCGUUAAGAGGUGCAAAUGCAAUUGUCAGGGAAAACAUUCAGCCAGGAGUGAGGAGUUUGGUAGACGAUCAAAUGAUAGAAAAUAUUUGAUCCUUGUCCUAAUGAUUAAGUAUCUGGCUUAGCUCACUUCCAGAAAAGUUGAUGCCCUGCAUCUUAUACCCUUUCUUGACACCAGGAAAUUGUUUUUAAAACACUCUGCUGAAGCAGUUUUUGACGGCCAGAUGGCACCUCACCCAUACAUAGUGAUAAAAAGAACUGUUAUUAUUUGCUGAAUAGACAGGUAGAUGGAAAAAUAUCAUGACUGUGCUCAACAAUUAAACACUUUUUAUUAUAACCGUGGUGUCCGGGCCAGCUUGCGCACACCUCGACUAAUUCCACGGUAUAAUUGCCACCUUCCACCAGUAAUAGGCACCACGUAAUUCUAUCCACCAAGGCUAGGGGAAGAAACCCGUGGUGUUUUUGUCUCCACUGGAAUUUGAACCUGAGACCUCAUGGUUCUUAACCACUUCAUUGACCACUAGGCCACACCCUUGGGUGCUCAACAAUAACACACUCUAAAAAGCCCACGUACAGUGAAAACCUUUGUUGCCGUUGGAAAAAGAAUUCUCUUUGACAGCAAGAUGGCACCUCACUAUACAGCAAAUUAGAACUUCCAAAAAUUGCUCUCCCCAGACCCCACUUGGUGAGAUUUCACUGGGUAUGUUGUUGUCUCUCAAAUUCUACAGUGGUCUGGACUCAAGAAUAUCAUUCUAUUUGUUUAGUCUAGCAGCAAGAGUCAUCUCUGGACCUAGCAAAAUCCAAAACUCUCAUGUGGAUUUCAUCAAGGCAGCAGGCUCUGUUUAAUUAUGACAUUGGCAUGCAACAAUACUCUUUACUAGAAAGUUGAAACUAAGGAUGAGUAUAGCAUUCAAGGUACCAAGGGAUCUUACAUCUCGUGGGGAGAUGAAGUUUCAGGUUUUCAUUUUAUGCUGAUGAAACAGAAUAUUAGCUGGCCUAUAUUGAUAGACUUAAAACAGAGAGUUGAGAAUCAAAGGAUAAAAGUGACAAGGAGUAGGACACCAUAACUUCCAUUGAUUCAAUGAUGGAGACAGAUAAUACCAAGUAUAGUGGGGGACGCUUGAUGAAUUUUAAGGUCUAGCUAUUGCUACAACUAGAAUGAUAAGGCUCUUCAACUCAUCAUAUCUUCCAACUUAUCUUUACCUUCUCAUUGUUCUCAUAUCCUCUCAAUCAGUUUAUAAGCGCUUCACAUCAGAACAAUGCACGCUCAUGAAAGAAGAACCAGGCCAGCUAUGCCAAUAUUUACAUCAACUAAUGACACGGUUAGGAAGCUGUUCUAUAGAAGGCACCCUGCAUGCUCUUUGGGAAACUAAGCAAAUCUACUCAGGAAAAAUGGAGACCUACCUUGUCAUGAAGAUUCUUAAUUGAUUCAAUCAACAAGUGUGUCUGCAUAAAACAAAACUAGUUAGCUUCACUUCGUAUCACUCCCAAAAGAAAUAGGGAACUAAAGCAGUCGAACAGUAAAAGAAUUGCAGAUAAUUUAAAAAGAAGGCAAAAGAUAAAAUUAGCACGCAUGGGUGUAGGAUUGGAUUAAAAUGAUCACACCAAUAUGGAACUCUUUGUACGGUUGCAAUGUCUUAGAAAUACAACUGAUGUAGCACCACCAACAAGACUAAUUCAGCUUUAGGCAUCCCACUUAUGUAAGUUCUAGGCCAUAAAAAGGUAAGUUGUUUCUAUAGAGCAGCUGGAACAAGUCUGUUUAUGAGUAAAGGUACAGAGGAAUGUGGAAAAUCCAAAACCUUUCUAAAUCUGGUUUGUGUCAGAGCAGUCUCGACUUGGUUUUCCAAAUGGACAAGAUCAGUAAUGCUGAGAUCAUCAACAUCAGGCUCCUUGAGUUGCCUGUCAAAUUGUGGAUCAAUACCAUGCUUUCCAAGGGAAGCUCAAAAAAAAAAAAAAGAGCAGCAAAAGGUCAGUACUUUUCUACCGUCUGUAGCAGUUCUUCCAUUCUCAUGAAACUUGCAUAUUUAGAUUCCUGUUCCCAUACAACGAUAGAAUAAUUUCAGCAACUGAAAUUGUAUAUAGUUACUCCAGGCAUAUUGGAUUAACUCUCAAUGGAAUGACUAUAGCUAAUACUCAUUAUUUGCAUGAUGUAUGUGACUGAACAACUGUCGCACCACUUUCCUGGUUUUGACGAUGUACAACUUAUGUUUAAAACAACGCAUUCUAGAAAAACAAACAGCAAUAUAUUGAAUAAGAUUCAUUUAUGAUGUAAAAUGACCAUCCUUAAUUACCACAUACUAAAUUGGAGCUUCUAACUAGAGCAGGACAAAAGCUGAGAACAUAUAACUUCACAUAUAGAUUUUGUGUCCUAGGAUCUACUCACAAUAGAUAAAGAUGCAUUACAAGCCACCAAGUCACCUGCAAAGAUUUGUAUUAACUUAACAUCUAUGGAUUUGCUUUUGGGAAAUCAAAAAACUAUACAAACAUUAAUAAUUUGACAUGGUGAUUAAACUUUUCGACUUCACAGCCCAUGAGUUGCUUUCUAGUUCCCGAAGAACCAUAAAAACAUUUAGUGUACUCGUUACAUUUAUUCAUUAUACAGUACCUCUGUCAAGAGAUAAGAGGACAGUGAAGUUAACUAGAUAUAUACCUCUGUGUCAUCGACUUCUGCAGAGACCUUAUCUUCUGCUUUCAUGUGGGUGUUAUAUCGGUGAAUAACUCCUGUCAGACUGAAACACAUAUAUCAUGUGGUCGUCAUCAGUUUGUUAGCCAAUCUACUCAAACAGGAAAUGGACUCCACAAUAUUAAGUUCAUACUUGAGGAAGGAAGAGUAAUGUGUGUAGUUCAAAAACACAAUGCAUCAAACAAAUUCUCCACAAAUUUGUGGUUUCUCUUAAAUUUCGGCCUUGCAUUAGGGACUGCAGUAUCAAAACACAAUUACACUAGACAGUAAAGUUGGAAUAUUUACAACCACACUGGUUUGAUCACUAAAAAGCAAGAACUGUUGGAAACAACUAGAACAGUGAUAACUCACUUAGCCGUAAAAGAAACUAUAGCUACUUUCCAAUUUCAAGAAAUUGUAGGGUCUCCACCACUUAAUAAGAAAAUGAAUAGAUAAGAAAAGCUAUAGGUCAAACUACUUGGGCAAGAGAGGAACAUGAUGGUUCAGGAAAAUGUUCAUAGGAAUCCAGACACACCAACUUGGCCAAAACCAUCCUGUUGCCUUUCAAUAACUGGGGGAUUUAGACUACAAUAGUCUACAUGGUGACCAAAUAGAUUUAACAAUCGAUCAUCAACCAAUCGAAUACACCUCAAUGAAAAUAAGUAGAAAAGAUUACAUGAAUCCUCUAUAUUCAUUCCGCACUAUUGAACUCCAUUCAUUCAGAUACUAGAUCGAGUUUGCCAAAAGCUCACCCAUAUCCUUUAGAGUUAACUAGUUAGUUAGGAAGAGUUGAACAAAUCCUCCGUUAGAAUAGAAAUAAGUAUAUACAAUCCUAAUUAGAAUAGGAAUAGGAAUAGGAAUAAGAAUAGGAAUCCUAGUUGAAAAAGGAUUCCAAUGUAGUGUCUAUAAAUAGGGUCUCAAUGUAAUAAUGUAUCACACAAUUUAAUAAUAUUUUUCUCCUAUAUUUCUCACAUGGUAUCAGAGCAAUGGUGAGAAAAUUAAAUCAGCCGUCACUGUGCAAUUUUCCGGUGACCUAAAUUGCUGUCCCAGAAAGAAAAAAUCAGCAAUUAUUCUGGCCAUUUUUUUUUCAGCAGUUUUUUUUUCCAGUGGGGUUGCCUCUUGAUUCCGAGGCUGAUCAUAUAAUUUAUUUUCCUGAUUCCGACCAGUUUUUGGCGACCAGAUUCCUUCUUUUUUUCCGGCAGUCAGAUCUAUUUUCAGCAGUCAGAUUUUGGCCCCAAAUUUUUAUUUUAUUUCCAACAGUCAGAUCUAAUUAUUUUUAUUUUUUGUGAGAAUAUUCUAAUUUCACAAUGUCGUUCGGGAUUGAUAUUUUUUUAAUAUAGAAAAUAACUCAGAACGAUCUUUCAUUAAGAAAACCCAAGUGCAUCUUGAAAAAUCAUCAAUGAAACUAACAAAAUAACGAAAACCUAAGGGUGAACUGACUCUACUAGGACCUCAAAUAUCAGAAUGGACUAAUGAAAAAAUAGACUCUGAACGACCCUCAGUACUACGGGAAAAUGUAGCACGGAUGUGUUUCCCAUCCAACAGGUAAAUCUACUAUUGGUUGCCGUUGGGUUUAUGCAGUCAAAAUUGAUCCAAACGGUCAGGUUGAUCAGCUUAAGGCUCGUCUUGUUGCCAAAGGGUAUACUCAAAUAUUUGGACUCGAUUAUAGUGAUACUUUCGCUCCCAUCUAUUCGUCUUUUUCUGUCCAUGGCUGCAGUUCGUCAUUGGCCUCUUCAUCAGUUGGACAUUAAAAAUGCUUUUCUACAUGGUGAUCUUGCGGAAGAAGUCUAUAUGGAGCAACCACCUGGUUUUGUUGCUCAUGGGGAGUCUAGUAACCUUGUAUGUCGAUUGCGUAAGUCACUCUAUGGUCUAAAACAAUCUCCUCGAGCCUGGUUUGGAAAGUUUAGCAGAGUAAUUCAGGAGUUCGGCAUGACUCGUAGUGGAGCUGAUCACUCUGUGUUUUAUCGGCAUUCUGCACCAAAUCAGUGUAUUUAUUUGGUUGUUUAUGUUGAUGAUACUGUUAUCACUGGCAAUGAUCAAGAUGAUAUCACUAAUUUGAAGCAACAUCUCUUUAAUCAUUUUCAAACUCAAGACCUAGACCUUGGCAGACUGAAGUAUUUUCUAGGUAUUGAGGUUGCUCAGUCUAGAUCAGGUAUUGUUAUUUCUCAACGCAAGUAUGCCUUAGACAUUCUUGAGGAGACAGGAAUGUUGGAUGUAGACCCAUUGACACUCCUAUGGAUCCGAAUGUUAAACUCCUUCCAGAACAGGGGGAGCCACUUAGUAAUCUUGAAAGGUAUAGACGGUUGGUUGGAAAGUUAAACUAUCUCACAGUGACUUGACCUGACAUCUCUUUUCCUGUGAGUGUUGUAAGUCAGUUUAUGACUUCCCCUUGUGAUAGUCAUUGGGAAGCAGUUGUUCGUAUUCUGCGAUAUAUAAAGUCAGCUCUCGAUAAAGGACUACUCUUUGAGGAUCAAAGCCAUGAGCAUAUCACUGGAUAUACAGACGCUGAUUGGGCAGGAUCACCCUCCGAUAGACAUUCGACAUCCGGAUAUUGUGUUUUAGUAGUAGGUAAUUUGGUGUCGUGGAAGAGUAAGAAACAGAAUGUGGUUGCUCGAUCUAGUGCAGAAUCAGAAUAUCGAGCAAUGGCGACAGCAACUUGUGAGCUAGUUUGGAUCAAACAAUUGCUGGGAGAACUAAAAUUUGGCGAAAUUGAUCAGAUGGAACUUGUGUGUGAUAAUCAAGCGGCUCUUCAUAUCGCAUCAAAUCAGUGUUUCAGGAAAGGACUAAGCACAUUGAGAUUGACUGUCACUUUGUCAGAGAAAAGAUACUCUCGGGAGAUAUUGUUACGAAAUUUGUGAAGUCAAAUGAUCAACUUGCAGAUAUCUUCACCAAGUCCCUCACAUGUCCUCGUAUUAAUUACAUCUGUAACAAGCUAGGUACAUAUGAUUUGUAUGCACCAGCUUGAGGGGGAGUGUUAGAAUAGAAAUAAGUAUUUCCUACUUAGAAUAGGAAUAUGAAUAGGAAUAGGAAUAGGAAUAAGAAUAGGAAUCCUAGUUGGAAAAGGAUUCCAAUGUAGUGUCUAUAAAUAGGGUCUCAAUGUAACAAUUUAGAUACACAAUUCAAUAUUAUUUUUCCCAUAUAUUUCUCACAAUUAGAUCUACACGUCCCCAGUUAAUUCAUAUCCAUUAGACAUUAAAAAGAUCUGAUUUUGUGGGGCUUGCAAAGUAUAUGAAUUGGAAUCACAUUAUUUUAUGAUAAGGGAAACCCGCAGCAGGGUGGUAAAACCUCCGCUCCUAUGCAAUAGCUCGCAAACCACAUAGGAGAGGUAACCCGCACUAGGCAAGCCUGGUGCGACGAGCUCGACCCAGAAGGCAAACCCCUUGCUUUCGCUGGCAAGGGGUUUCGNNNNNNNNNNNNNNNNNNNNNNNNNNNNNNNNNNNNNNNNNNNNNNNNNNNNNNNNNNNNNNNNNNNNNNNNNNNNNNNNNNNNNNNNNNNNNNNNNNNNNNNNNNNNNNNNNNNNNNNNNNNNNNNNNNNNNNNNNNNNNNNNNNNNNNNNNNNNNNNNNNNNNNNNNNNNNNNNNNNNNNNNNNNNNNNNNNNNNNNNNNNNNNNNNNNNNNNNNNNNNNNNNNNNNNNNNNNNNNNNNNNNNNNNNNNNNNNNNNNNNNNNNNNNNNNNNNNNNNNNNNNNNNNNNNNNNNNNNNNNNNNNNNNNNNNNNNNNNNNNNNNNNNNNNNNNNNNNNNNNNNNNNNNNNNNNNNNNNNNNNNNNNNNNNNNNNNNNNNNNNNNNNNNNNNNNNNNNNNNNNNNNNNNNNNNNNNNNNNNNNNNNNNNNNNNNNNNNNNNNNNNNNNNNNNNNNNNNNNNNNNNNNNNNNNNNNNNNNNNNNNNNNNNNNNNNNNNNNNNNNNNNNNNNNNNNNNNNNNNNNNNNNNNNNNNNNNNNNNNNNNNNNNNNNNNNNNNNNNNNNNNNNNNNNNNNNNNNNNNNNNNNNNNNNNNNNNNNNNNNNNNNNNNNNNNNNNNNNNNNNNNNNNNNNNNNNNNNNNNNNNNNNNNNNNNNNNNNNNNNNNNNNNNNNNNNNNNNNNNNNNNNNNNNNNNNNNNNNNNNNNNNNNNNNNNNNNNNNNNNNNNNNNNNNNNNNNNNNNNNNNNNNNNNNNNNNNNNNNNNNNNNNNNNNNNNNNNNNNNNNNNNNNNNNNNNNNNNNNNNNNNNNNNNNNNNNNNNNNNNNNNNNNNNNNNNNNNNNNNNNNNNNNNNNNNNNNNNNNNNNNNNNNNNNNNNNNNNNNNNNNNNNNNNNNNNNNNNNNNNNNNNNNNNNNNNNNNNNNNNNNNNNNNNNNNNNNNNNNNNNNNNNNNNNNNNNNNNNNNNNNNNNNNNNNNNNNNNNNNNNNNNNNNNNNNNNNNNNNNNNNNNNNNNNNNNNNNNNNNNNNNNNNNNNNNNNNNNNNNNNNNNNNNNNNNNNNNNNNNNNNNNNNNNNNNNNNNNNNNNNAAGUGUGGUUGCUCGAUCUAGUGCAGAAUCAGAAUAUCGAGCAAUGGCGACAGCAACUUGUGAGCUAGUUUGGAUCAAACAGUUGCUGGGAGAGCUAAAAUUUGGUGAAAUCGGUCAGAUGGAACAUGUGUGUGAUAAUCAAGCGGCUCUUCAUAUCGCAUCAAAUCCAAUAUUUCAUGAAAACACUAAGAACAUUAAGAUUGACUAUCACUUUGUCAGAGAAAAGAUACUCUCAGGAGAUAUUGUUACGAAAUUCGUGAAGUCAAAUGAUCAGCUUGAUCUUCACCAAGUCCCUCACCGGUCCUCGUAUUAAUUACAUCUGUAACAAGCUACGUACAUAUGAUUUGUAUAGACCAGCUUGAGGGGGAGUGUUAGAAUAGAAAUAAGUAUAUACAAUCCUAAUUAGAAUAGGAAUAGGAAUAAAAAUAGGAAUCUUAGUUGGAAAAGGAUUCCAAUGUAGUGUCUAUAAAUAAGGUCUCAAUGUAAUAAUGUAGAUACACAAUUCAAUAAUAUUUUUCUCCUAUAUUUCUCACAUCCUCCUUGAGCAUGCCGCUCCAUUUGUAUCAAUCUAAUGUUUGAGGAUCAAUAUUUGAAGAAUGAGACCAUUAACAAGUCAAUCUCAACUAAUUGGGUAUCAUUUGAAUGGAUCCUUCACUUCUAUCAUAUUAUGUUCUUAACUGAGUGUCUAUUGAUUCCAGAGAUCUAGAACCCUCGUGAUAUAAUCUCCAUAAUCUUAACUUGUGUUACUUGCACUCUCUAUCAGUUGUUACCGUUUGCAAUAUUGGCCACAAAUUUAUAAAUCACAUAUUCAACAUUAGAUUCACAUUUUGGAAUGUUACAGAAUCUAUUUAAUAAUGUAUAUAGAUAAUGUUAGAAUAGAAAUAUGUAUAUAUAUUCCUACUUAGAAUAGGAAGAAGAAUAGGAAUAGGAAUCCUAGUUAGAAAAGGAUUUCAAUGUAUUGUCUAUAAAUAGAGUCUCAAUGUAACAAUUUAAAUACACAAUUCAAUAUUAUUUUUCCCAUAUAUUUCUCACAUGGUAUCAAAGCAUUGGUGAGAAACUUCAAGUCACCAUGUCAAAUUCCGGCGACGAUGGUUGGGACUGAUUUGUGUCAUCUUUCGUUCUGAAGGUGUUGUGCGAAAGACAACACCAUCACGAGGCUCGGGAAGCUCAGGCGACCGAACCCCAAGCAGAUCCACCGGAAAACAACCCCCAACGCGCCGUUCGGAGGUGGAAGUUUUUCGGCAAGAUCUGUUCACGCGUGAGUGCUGCUCCGGUCAUCUUUUUUCAAGUUGUUUUCUUCUGUUGGGGUCGCCCAGUAUUUCCGACAAGAACCCAUUCAGUUUUCUCUAGAUCCGAUCACCAGAAUUAGGGUUCCGGUGAUUUUCAAGCAGUUUCCGGCAAGUUCCCGGCGAAAUCAGAAUUUUCAAGCCACUGUGGGUAGAUUCCGACAGUUUCCAGUGAGCUUCUUACUCUUUUCAAGUCAAAUUUCGAAAAAUGUCUUUCGGGUGUGAUGUUUUUUGGCUCCAAAAAUACGGGGAUUGGAAGUUCAAGACUUACAAUCACUUCAGAACCAUUAAUGGGAAGUUCAAACUAUUUAGCUUGGGCUUCUUCAGUUGAGUUGUGGUGCAAGGGUCAAGGUGUUCAAGAUCACUUUGGCGAAAAGACAAAGUCUAGUGACGAAGGUGCAAAAGCCAAAGCACAAUGGGAGAAAGUGGAUGCCCAAUUAUGUAGUCUCCUUUGGUGCUCUAUUGAUUCUAAGUUGAUGCCCUUGUUUCGCCCAUUCCAGACAUGUUAUUUAGUUUGGGAAAAGGCACGUGCUUUAUACACUAAUGACAUAUCUCGAUUCUAUGAUGUGAUAUCUCGGAUGACCAACUUAAAGAAACAAGAAUCCGAUAUGUCUACUUACUUGGGACAAGUACAGGAAGUCAUGGAGGAAUUUGAAACGUUGAUGCCUAUCACUACAAACGAGGAAAAGCAACAAGAGCAAAGGCAGACAUUGUUUCUAGUUCUUACACUUGCUGGACUUCCUACUGACCAUAACUCUGUGCGUGACCUUUUUCUAGCCAGUCCUACAGUUCCAUCAAUUGAUGAAUUAUUCUCUCGUCUGCUUCGUCUUGUUGCACCUCCCUGUCAUAAAGAAGUUUCAUCACCCAUUGUUGACUCCUCUAUUCUCGCAUCUCAAACCACAGAAAAGCGUACAUACCAGUCUAUGGAGAAUCGGCGAGGGGGAGGGCAUUUUGGGAAACCUCGAUCCAAAUGUAGUCAUUGUCAUAAACUUGGACACACUCGUGAUAUAUGUUAUAUUUUACAUGGUCCACCACCCAGUUAUGAUCCUAUUGUUCUCAAGGAAUAUAAUGAGUUCCUUCGAAAUCGUGCAAGUAAACAGACAUCUCCACCAGUAGCAUAUGGUGCUCAACCUAAUCAACCAUCCAAUAAUGCUCAUAUUGCACAGACAGAAUAUGACAAACGUCUCCACAAGUAGUUUCGAUUGCACAACCUGAUGUUUUUGUUGCGGGUAAUUCUUUUGCUUGCGUGUCACAGUCUAGUACUCUUGGAUCAUGGGUCAUGGACUCAGGGGCUUCUGAUCAUAUCUCUGGUAAUAAAUCACUUUUGUCCAAUAUUGUUUAUUCACAAUCUCUUCCAGCUAUUACUUUAGCCAAUGGGAUCCAAACAAAACCAAAAGGGGUUGGAAAAGCCAAACCCCUAUCUUAUGUCACCCUAGACUCUGUUCUUUAUGUCUCUGGUUCUCCUUUUAAGCAUCUGUUAGUCGUUUGACAAAGGCUCUACAUUGUAGCAUAACUUUUUUUGAUGACUUUUUUCUCAUGCAGGACCGCAGUACAGGACAGACGAUUGUUCGGAACAGGACAAGAAUCACAAGGCCUUUACUACCUUGCCUCUUCAAAUUUCUUGAAAGCAUGCUCCGUUACAGAUUCCCUAGAUCUAAUUCACAAACGUUUGGGACAUCCGAGUCUGUCCAAACUGCAAAAGAUGGUGCCUAGUUUGUCUAGUUUAUCCAAAUUAGAUUGUGAGUCGUGUCAACUUGGGAAACACACCCGUGCUACAUUUUCACGUAGUACUGAGGGUCGUUCAGAGUUUAUAUUUUCAUUAGUUCAUUCUGAUAUUUGGGGUCCUAGUAGAGUCAAUUCCACCUUAGGAUUUCGUUAUUUUGUUAGUUUCAUUGAUGAUUAUUCAAGAUGUACUUGGGUUUUCUUAAUGAAGAUCAUUCUUGAGUUAUUUUCUAUAUUCAAAAGUUUCUUUGCUGAAAUACAAAAUCAAUUUGGUGUUUCUAUUCGUACUUUUCGUAGUGAUAAUGCCUUAGAAUACUUAUCCUCCCAAUUUCAGGAGUUUGACUCACCAAGGCAUUAUUCACCAGACUACUUGUCCAUACACCCCUCAACAGAACGGUGUAGCAGAAAGGAAAAAUAGGCAUCUUAUUGAGACUGCUCGUACUCUUCUCCUUGAAUCCCAUGUUCCGCUGCGUUUUUGGGGAGAUGCAGUUCUUACGUCUUGUUAUUUAAUAAAUAGAAUGCCCUCAUCUUCUAUUCAAAAUCAGGUUCCACAUUCCAUUCUGUUUCCUGAGUCAUAUCUCUAUCCUAUCCCCCCUCGUGUCUUUGGGAGUACAUGCUUUGUUCAUAACUUAUCCCCAGGGAAAUAUAAAUUAGCCCCUCGUGCCCUCAAAUGUGUCUUUCUUGGUUACUCUCGAGUUCAAAAGGGUAUCGAUGUUAUUCACAUGAUCUUCAUCGUUACCUUAUGUCCACUGAUGUUACAUUCUUUGAGUCUCAACCUUACUAUACGUCUUCUGAUCAUCUUGAUCUAUAUAUGGUCUUACCUAUACCUCAAGUUUUACCUGUACCAACUUUUGAGGAAUCUACGGUUACUUCUACAUCUCCAGUUGUAGUGCCACCACUCCUAACUUAUCAUCGCCGUCCGCGUCCAGCGUUAGUCCCAAAUGAUUCAUGUCAUGCGCCAGACCCUGCUCGUACUGCGGACUUGCCUCCUCCUAGCCAACCGCUUGCACUUCAAAAAGGUAUACGAUCCACUCGAAAUACUAACCCUCAUUAUACCUUCUUGAGUUAUUGUUGAAUGAGUAGGCAGAUUUAGUCAUAAUCUACUCCACCAUUGAGCUGGCAGAUUUGAUUAUAAUCUGCUCCACAAAGAAAGCUGGCAAAUUUGAUUAGAAUCUGCUCCUGUGAAUAUGGGAUUAGAAUAUAUUAUUCUAGGAAAAUAGUUAAGAGGAAAUCCAUUGAUUCAAGGAUUUCCUAAGAAUUAGGGAUUGAUUAGUUUAAUUGGUCUUUACUUGUUCUCUUAUAAAUAUUGUACAAACACUAUGAAUAAAAUAUACUUUUGCAGUAUCUAAACUUUCAUGGUAUCAGAGCGGGACUUUUUCCCCUAAUAUCAUAUGGGUAAAACAGCCUUCUCAUGGAGAGUAUCUUUCUGAAACAUCAACAGAAGACAAAAGUUCUUCUCUGGAAGCUCCUGCAGAAAAUCUNNNNNNNNNNNNNNNNNNNNNNNNNNNNNNNNNNNNNNNNNNNNNNNNNNNNNNNNNNNNNNNNNNNNNNNNNNNNNNNNNNNNNNNNNNNNNNNNNNNNNNNNNNNNNNNNNNNNNNNNNNNNNNNNNNNNNNNNNNNNNNNNNNNNNNNNNNNNNNNNNNNNNNNNNNNNNNNNNNNNNNNNNNNNNNNNNNNNNNNNNNNNNNNNNNNNNNNNNNNNNNNNNNNNGAGACAUAUUCAGAUGUAGAAAAUGCCUCUCAAAUUUUUGAGUUAAAAAUUAAACUAUGGCAAGCUAAGCAGGGUGAGAAUGAAGUCACUACUUAUUAUAAUGAAAUGGUGUCCUUGUGGAGUUAGACCAGUGUUACAAUGAUGAAUGAGAGUGUUCUGUGGAUAGUGUGAAAGAGAAAAAAAAGGAAGAAAAUGAGAGAGUUUACCUUUUUUUAGCAGGAUUAAACCGAGAGUUUGACAAGGUCAGGUCACGAAUCCUAGGAAAAAAUCCUCUGCCCUCACUUCGUGAAACAUUUUCUGAAGUUAGGAGAGAGGAAACUAGGAGGAAAGUUAUGUUAAAACCUGAUUUAAAUGUUGAACUAAAACCUGUUAUAGACUCUUCAGCUCUUAUAAGAGUGAAGAAUGGAGAGGACAAAAACAAAAGGCCAUGGUGUGAUCAUUGCAAAAAAUAUUGGCACACCCGUGAAACAUGUUGGAAGAUUCAUGGAAACCACUAAACUGGAAGAAAAAGGGAGUUGAUGAUUGUGGCUUUCAAUCUCAAAAUGGUCAGGCCCUCCAAACAACUUAUUUUGAUCAGGGGCAGCAACCUUCUCCAGAAACAUCUCCAUUUACAAGGGAACAAUUGGAAAUUCUGCACAAACUCCUUCAAUCUCCACAAUUUCGUGCAAAUGCACAAAAUUCUUCUAAUCCUUCCUGUUCUUUUGCUCAAAUAGGUACUGUAUCGUCUGCUUUUCUUAGUACCAAUUCCAAUCAAAUAGAUUCUUGGAUCAUAGAUUCAGGAGCUAGUGACCACAUGACUGGAAGUUCCCGUUUUUUCUCUACAUACACUCCUUGUGCAGGGAACAAUAAAAUCAAGAUAGCUGAUGGUUCCUUCUCUGCAAUUGCUGGAAAAGGAACUAUUAAGCUAUCACCAUCUCUUAUACUUCAUGAUACUCUUCAUGUUCCAAAGCUCUCUUGUAAUCUAGUUUCUGUCAGUAAAUUAACCCGUUCUCUUAAUUGUCGUGCUAUUUUUGAUUCCGAUUUGUGUGAAUUUCAGGAAAAGGUCUCGGGGAAGAUGAUUGGCAGUGCUAGAGAAUCAGGAGGUCUUUAUUUUCUUGACAACAGGAACAACUCACUACAACUGAAUCCUAUUUGUUUGAACUCUACUUUUGUUUUGAAUAAAGUCAUGCUUUGGCACUAUAGGCUUGGAAAUCCAAGUUUUUAUUAUUUAAGACAUUUGUUACCUCAGUUAUUUAGAAAUAAAAAUCCAUACUUAUUCCAAUGUGAAUUUUGUGAAAUGGCUAAGCAUCACCGAUCUUCUUUUCCUUCUCAAAGAUAUCAGGCUUCAAAACCUUUUACAAUGAUUCAUAGUGAUGUUUGGGGUCCGUCUAGAAUCUCAACAAUGUUUGGGAAACGGUGGUUUGUAUAUUUUAUUGACGAUCAUACUAGAUUGAGUUGGGUUUUUUUAUUGAAGGACAAAUCUGAGGUUAAAAAUGUGUUUGAGACUUUCUAUGUCAUGGUGGAAACACAGUUCAAUGAGAAAAUCAAGAUUUUUCGGAGUGAAAAUGGCCGUGAAUUUUUUAAUGAACAAUUGGGAAGUUUUUUAGAAAAACUGGGGUAGUACACCAAAGCUCUUGUCCAGAUACACCUCAACAAAAUGGUAUCGCCGAAAGAAAGAAUAGACACCUUUUAGAGGUAACGAGAGCUUUAAUGUUUACUAGUAAAGUUCCACAACACCUUUGGGGAGAGGCUCUCUUGACUGCCACUUACCUUAUUAAUAGGAUGCCAUCUCACCCUCUUGAAUUUAAGACACCUUUUAAAGUUUUCAAAGAAAGUUUUCCUAGUUCUAGGUUAACUACAGAUCUGCCUCUGAGGGUUUUUGGUUGUACAACAUUUGUUCAUGUCCAUAAUCGUAGUAAACUUGAACCGCAGGCUAAGAAGUGUAUUUUUGUAGGAUAUGCCCCAAGUCAAAAGGGAUAUAAGUGUUAUGAUCCACAUGCUAGGAAGACAAUUGUUACAAUGGACCUAACUUUCUUUGAGUCGCAACUCUGUUUUACUACUCAUCUUCAGGGGGAGUAUCAUGUAGAUGAAGAUUCUUUUUUUUGUGAUAUUGAGGAAACUAGAUAUCAAGCAAAUGAAGAGCCUGAUAUUACAAUAAAUACUGAUGUGAGAGAUGUAGGAGAAGAUAUGAAUAAGUGUGAUCCAAGAGAUGAUAAGGACCAAAGUGACUUAAAUGAUAAAAACUCAGAAAUUGAACUUGAACCUGUAGCGCCUUCAAAUGACAAAAAUAAAAUGGGAAUAGAGAACAAAAAACAGAAAUGCAGGUGUAUUCGAGAAGGAACUGAACUCAAGAAAAAAAGACCGAAGAUUCUCAACACUGCCAAAAAUCAGUCCCACCAGACCUCACUGUAAUUCAAGGUACUCUUCCAACUAAUUCUAUUUCUAAUUCCUUAGAUCUAGAUCUACCUAUUGCGAAACGCAAAGGUGUUAGAUUUACUUCUAAAUAUCCUAUGUCUAUGUUUGUGUCCUACAAAAAGUUGUCUCCUAGUUAUUCAGCCUUUACUUCACAACUCUCUAGUGUGGAGAUUCCAACAAAUGUGCAUGAUGCUCUACAAGUUCCCGAGUGGAAGGAGGCUAUUUUGGAGGAAUUGCGAGCUCUUGAAACAAAUGAGACAUGGGAGUUAGUGGAUUUACCCGAGGGAAAGAAACCAGUGGGUUGUAAAUGGGUGUUCACCACCAAACUCAAAUCAGACGGAUCCUUGGAAAGGUAUAAGGCCCGCCUAGUAGCUAAGGGAUUCACGCAGACAUAUGCUAUUGACUAUCUCGAGACGUUUGCUCCAGUAGCUAAGCUAAACUCAAUUAGAGUUCUGUUGACAAUCGCAGUAAAUCUCGACUGGUCUCUUUAGCAAUUGGAUAUGAAGAAUGUUUUCUUGAACGGGCACCUAGAGGAAGAAGUCUAUAUGGAUCCCCCACCAGGUUUUGAUGGGAAGUACAAGUCAAAGAUAUGUAGGCUUAGAAGAUCUCUUUAUGGUCUAAAACAAUCUCCAAGGGCUUGGUUCGAAAGGUUUACUCAAUUUGUGAAAAAGCAAGGGUAUGUGCAGGGACAAGCAGAUCACACAAUGUUUACUCGACAUUCACUGGAAGGAAAACAACCGUUCUUAUAGUGUAUGUUGACGAUAUUAUCCUCACAGGAGAUGAUGUGGUUGAGAUAAAAAAUCUAAGGGAACGCCUUGCCUUAGAAUUUGAGAUAAAGGACUUAGGCCCGCUAAAGUACUUUCUUGGCAUGGAGGUUGCACGAUCGAAGAAAGGAAUUAUAGUGUCACAAAGGAAGUAUGUUCUUGAUCUGUUAAAAGAAACAGGAAUGAGUGGUUGUAGACCAAUUGAAACUCCAAUUGAUCCAAAUCUGAAAUUUGUAAAGGAAGGAAAAUUGAUUUAUAAGGGCCAAUAUCAGAGAUUGGUAGGCAAGUUGAUUUACUUGUCACAUACUAGACCUGAUAUUUCCUUUGUUGUGAGCCUAGUCAGUCAGUUCAUGCAUUCUCCACGAGAAGAACACCAAGAAGUUGUGUAUCUAAUCCUAAGGUAUCUAAAAAGUUCACCUGGGAAAGGGUUGUUCUUCAAGAAGAAUGAGCAAAGAAGUCUUGAGGCUUAUACGGAUGCAGAUUGGGCUGGUUCAUCUAUUGAUAGGAGGUCUACAUCUGGAUAUUGUACAUUUGUUUGGGAAAUUUGGUGACAUGGAGAAGUAAGAAGCAAAAUGUGGUGGCUCGAAGUAGUGCUGAGGCUGAGUAUCGAUCCAUGGCACACGGAAUUUGUGAAAUAUUGUGGCUCAAGAGAUUUUUGGAAGAACUAAGAAGACCUGUGAGUUUUCCAAUGAAGUUGUAUUGUGACAAUAAGGCUGCCAUAAGCAUUGCUCAUAAUCCAGUUCAACAUAAUAGAACAAAGCAUGUUGAAGUGGACAGACACUUCAUUGAAGAGAAGAUUGAAGAUGGAAGUGUGUGCAUUCCUUUUGUGCCAACAACAGAACAAGUUGCAGAUAUUUUCACAAAAGGUCUUUUCAGAACUACUUUUGAGUCCUUUGUGAGCAAGUUAGGCAUGUUUGAUAUUUACAUGCCAACUUGAGGGGGAGUGUUGAAUGAGUAGGCAGAUUUAGUCAUAAUCUGCUCCACCAUUGAGCUGGCAGAUUUGAUUAGAAUCUGCUCCACAAAUAAAGCUGGCAGAUUUGAUUAGAAUCUGCUCCACAAAUAAAGCUGGCAGAUUUGAUUAGAAUCUGCUCCACAAAUAAAGCUGGCAGAUUUGAUUAGAAUCUGCUCCACAAAUAAAGCUGGCAGAUUUGAUUAGAAUCUGCUCCACAAAUAAAGCUGGCAGAUUUGAUUAGAAUCUGCUCCACAAAUAAAGCUGGCAGAUUUGAUUAGAAUCUGCUCCACAAAUAAAGCUGGCAGAUUUGAUUAGAAUCUGCUCCACAAAUAAAGCUGGCAGAUUUGAUUAGAAUCUGCUCCACAAAUAAAGCUGGCAGAUUUGAUGAGAAUCUGCUCAUGUGAAUAUGGGAUUAGAAUAUAUUAUUCUAGGAAAAUAGUUUAGAGGAAAUCCCUUGAUUCAAGGAUUUCCUAAGAAUUAGGGAUUGAUUAGUUUAAUUGGUCUUUACUUGUUCUCUUAUAAAUAUUGUACAAACACUAUGAAUAAAAUAUACUUUUGCAGUAUCUAAACUUUCAGUUAUCAUCGUCUAUCAUCACCCAAUUAUGCCUCUGUAUCGUCUUUGUCCUCUAUCUCCAUUUCUAAGACUACAGGUGAAGCACUUUCUCAUUCUGGAUGGAGGCAGGCUAUGGUUGAUGAGAUGUCUGUUUUGCAUAAGAGUGGUACUUGGGAGCUUGUCUCUCUUCCUGCAGGUAAAUCUACCGUUGGUUGUCGUUGGGUUUAUGCAGUCAAAAUUGAUCUAGACGGUCAGGUUGAUCGGCUCAAGGCUCGCCUUGUUGGCAAAGGGUAUACUCAGAUAUUUGGGCUAGAUUAUAGUGACACUUUUGCCCCUGUGGCUAAAAUAGCAUAUGUUCGUCUUUUUCUAUCUAUGGUUGUCAUUCGUCAUUGGUCUCUUCAUCAGUUGAACAUUAAGAAUGCUUUUUUGCAUGAUGAUCUUGAGGAGGAAGUCUAUAUGGAGCAACCACCUGGUUUUGUUGCUCAGGGGGAGUCUAGUAGCCUUGUAUGUCGAUUGCGUAGGUCACUUUAUGGUCUGAAGCAGUCUCCUAGAGCUUGGUUUGGGAAGUUCAGCACAGUUAUUCAACAAUUUGGCAUGACUCAUAGUGGAGCUGAUCACUCUGUGUUUUAUCGACAUUCUGCAACAAAUCGAUGUAUCUAUUUGGUUGUGUACGUUGAUGAUAUUGUUAUUACUGGUAAUGAUCAAGAUGGUAUCACCAAAUUGAAGCAGCAUCUCUUUAAGCACUUCCAAACUAAAGACCUUGGCUAAAGACCUUGGCAGAUUGAAGUAUUUUCUCGGUAUUGAGGUUGCUCAGUCUAGAUCAGGUAUUGUUAUAUCUCAACGCAAGUAUGCCUUAGACAUUCUUGAGAAGACGGGAAUGAUGGGAUGUAGACCUAUUGACACUCCUAUGGAUCCUUCUAGGACAGGGGGAGCCACUUAGUAAUCCUGAAAGGUAUAGACGACUCGUUGGAAAAUUGAAUUAUCUCACAGUAACUAGACCUGACAUCUCUUUUCCUGUGAGUGUUGUAAGUCAGUUUAUGACUUCGCCUUGUAAUAGUCAUUGGGAUGCAGUUGUUCGUAUCCUGCGAUAUAUAAAGUCAGCUCCUGGUAAAGGACUACUCCAUGAGGAUCGAGGCCAUGAGCAUAUCACUGGAUAUACAGACGCUGAUUGGGCAAGAUCACCCUCUGAUAGACGUUUGACAUCCGGAUAUUGUGUUUUAGUAGGAGGUAAUUUGGUGUCGUGGAAAAGUAAGAAACAAAGUGUGGUUGCUCGAUCUAGUGCAGAAUCAGAAUAUCGAGCAAUGGCGACAGCAACUUGUGAGCUAGUUUGGAUCAAACAGUUGCUGGGAGAACUAAAAUUUGGCAAAGUUGAUCAGAUGGAACUUGUGUGUGAUAAUCAAGCGGCUCUUCAUAUCGCAUCAAAUCCAAUAUUUCAUGAAAACACUAAGAACAUUAAGAUUGACUAUCACUUUGUCAGAGAAAAGAUACUCUCAGGAGAUAUUGUUACGAAAUUUGUGAAGUCAAAUGAUCAGCUUGCAGAUAUCUUCACCAAGUCCCUCACAGGUCCUCGUAUUAAUUACAUUUGUAACAAGCUAGGUACAUAUGAUUUGUAUGCACCGGCUUGAGGGGGAGUGUUAGAAUAGAAAUAUGUAUAUAUAUUCCUACUUAGAAUAUGAAGAAGAAUAGAAAUAGGAAUCCUAAUUAGAAAAGGAUUUCAAUGUAUUGUCUAUAAAUAGGGUCUCAAUGUAACAAUUUAGAUACACAAUUCAAUAUUAUUUUUCCCAUAUAUUUCUCACAGAUAAUAUAGCCGAUUCUUAGGGAUUUGAAUAUUUAGUUACCAUAGUUAGCUUAUACUCUCCAUGUAUUAAUAUCAUUGUUCUCUUUGAGUAAUAUACAAAUUAUUCUCAAUAUCUUAUGAAUUACAUGGUAUCAGAGCCAAUGUUGAGUUGGUAUUUUUUCUUUGCCAGAAGUCACUAUGACUUCGCCAGAAUCCACUGUGGCUUCACCGGAAGUGAUUGAGAUUUCCAAAAUCUCUGUCACCACCCACUUAGCUACUUCCCACCAUCUUAAACUCCUAGAUCUCGGCAGCUGGAAGUCACUCGUGUGAGAGUCACGCUCCACUAUUACCCUUUCCGGUGAGACUGCAGUAGUGAUGCUGCAUCAGAUUUGGUGGUUGUUUGUUCAACAGACCACUACGAUUUGGGAGACUUGCUUGUUUCUGACCAAUAAUCGGGUGGUCUCUCUGUGUCGGGCAACUCCUGGUAGUGUUUUGACAUUUUUUUCCUAGGGAUUUCUGCUAAUAUUUGAUGUUUCGAGUUCACUCAUGUCGUACAAUUUUUACUGGCAUUGGGAUUUUGUUGUAGCAUCAUCAAGUUUUGCUCUUCAAUCAACACUUCUACUUGGCUAUUUAUUUGAUGAUUUUCUGAUUUUUCAGGAGCUAUUUUUGGGUCUCUGAUUUGUUGGAUAGCUAGCCUUGAGUGGAAUUGGUGUGGGGAAGAACUGUUACUUUGAUUAUUGAUCCAAAAUAGGUUACUGUCUAUCUUGGGUAUUGUCUAAUUUUAAGAUAUAAUCUGGUUGGACUAGUUGGUUUCUCCAUCAAUUCAUUUUGGUAUAGUAAGUAUUUUUGUUGGGAAAAUGACCGACUGUAAUUAGAGAACUCAAAGGUCUAAAGUUGUCCAUCAAUUCAUUUUGGUAUAGUAAGUAUUUUUGUUGGGAAAAUGACCGACUAUAAUUAGAGAAUUCAAAGGUCUAAAGUUGUUGGUGCUUGUAGUCCAUUAUCUAACAAAAUGGUCCUAAUUUCGGCAGAGGAGUUUAUUAAAUUCUCUCAAUACCAUAAAUUCUUGAAGGAUCCACUUAAGUUAAUUCCUUUGUUGAAUCAAAUGAAACAUAUCUUAUCACCUCUUCAAAUAAACGGGAUUUUGAUUCGGGUGCCACAAAUCACAUGACAGGUAAUCAUAAUAUUUUUCUUGCUUUCAAGCACACAGAGCACCCUCUCUGAUUACCAAAGCUGAUGGAUCAACUUGCAACAGUGUUGGAUAUGGGACGGUUAGACUAAUCUUUUCUAUUACUCUAUCAUUUGUAUUAAGUCUACCAAAGUUGGCCUUUAAUUUAUUUUUGUUAGCCAAGUUACUAAGUUACUGGAGACUUUAAUUGUUAUAUUUCAUUCUUUCCCAAUCAUUGUUUGUUUCGCGAUCAUAAGACGAAUCAGGUUAUUGGUAAAGGACAUGUAUUUAACAAUCUCUACUUCCUUGAUGAAUGGGAGCCUAGAUUUGUUGCCUGCUCUACUGUUGUGUCUCUAUAUGAAGCACAUUAUCGGUUGAGACAUCUUUCUCUACCACUAUUAAAGAAGUAAUGUCCUCAAUUUCAUAAUACUUCUUCAUUAGAAUAUGAGUCAUGUCACCCCCAAGGCCUAGCUCAAAUGGCAAAAGGUGGAGGAUUUGUGGCUUAGGUCACAGGUUCAAGCCCCACACCAUGCAAAGCGAAGCCCGGUAUUUAAGUGGAGAAGGGUAGUGGGGCGGGCCCAUUAUCUCCGGAGUUUAGAAGGCUGUGAUUGGUCCAAAGGGCGGGUCACAGACGGAUUUCUCGGUUAUCAAAAAAAAAAGAAUGUGAGUCAUGUCGAUUUGCAAAACGUCAUCGCAACUCAUUAAGUCCAAGGGUUAAUAAGCAGGUCAGCUUUUGAGUUAGUUCAUUCUAAUAUUUGGGGACCAUAUCCUGUCAUUUCCAAAUUUGGGCAUAAGUAUGUUGUUACUUUUGUGGAUGACUUGGAUUUCUUCUAUGCAGAUCUGCUCGAAAGUGUUUACUCACUUUUGUGCCUUCUGUGUUGAAGUCAAAAUACAAUUCAAUGCUUUGGUACGUAUUCUAAGGAGUGACAAUUCAUAUGAGACAACAGGCAUUCUCCAUCAGUCUUCAUACGUCGAUACACCUUCUCAAAAUGGAGUUGCUGAGAGGAAGAAUAGGCACUUACUUGAGACAGCUCGAGCUCUUUUAUUCCAAAUGAAGGUUCCUAAACAACUUUGGGCAGAUGUGAUCUCUCCAACUUGUUUUUUGAUUAAGUGCAUGCAAUCUAUUGUGUUUGGAAGCACAUGUUAUGUUCGAGAUGUUCGACCAUCUGUUACCAAGUUGAAUGCAAAAGCAUUGAAGUGUGUUUUUCUGGGCUAUUCUCACCUUCAAAAGGGGUAUUGAUGUUAUUCUACCAAACUUAGCAAAUAUUUGGUGUCAACUAAUGUGGUAUUUUCAGAGACUACCCCGUUCUUCUAUGCACCUCCUUUUUCUACAAGUCAAGGAGAGAAAAAUGAGUGGUUAGUCUAUCAGGUCACUCAUGUUUUGACAAAAGAAUCAGAUGUUGUCCCUCCAUCUCUCAAUUUUUCUAUUAAGGACCAAUCGACUAUUGUUUCAGAAGCUCCUUCUCCAUUUGAUGUGGCAAGACCGCCAAUUGUUCAAGUUUACUCGAAGAGGCGAGGGGUUGAUGAUACAUGUCUUGCACCAAUUCCUUUGUCAUUAGAUCCUCAUUCAUCUGAUCCUCCACAAGAUCUUGACCUCCCUAUUGCUCUUCGCAAAGGUACACAUAGUUUCAAAUCCUGGUAUUCCAUUAGUAAUUUGUUUCCUAUGGCCACUUAUCCUCUAUGUCUAGAUCUUUGAUUGAUUACUUCUCUAGACUCUAUUUCUAUACCCAAAAGGCCUUGAAUCAUUCUGGAUGGUCUGAUGCAAUGCUUGACGAAAUACAUGCCUUAGAAGAAAAUCACAUGUGGGAUUUAGUGGAUUAACCCAAGGGAAAGAAAUUAGUGGGAUGUAAUUGGGUCUUCAUAGUGAAAGUUAAGAUGGAACUAUAGCAAGACUUAAAGUUAGACUUGUAGCUGAAGGGUAUGCUCAAACAUAUGGGGAAGAUUAUUCACACAUUCUCCCCAGUUGCCAAGGUCAUUUAUGUCCGCUUAUUCAUUUCUCUAGUUGCUUCUGAGAAUUGGCCUUUACAUAAGUUAGAUAUUUUUUUAUUUUUUUUCGAUGACCUAGAAAUCCGUCUGUGACCUGCCCUUUGGACCAAUCACAGUCUUCUAAACUCGGUGGAUAAUGGACCCGCCCCUCUACCCUUCUCCACUUAAAUACCAGGCUUCGCUUUGCAUGGUGUGGGGCUUGAACCUGCGACCUAAGCCACAAAUCCUCCAUUUUUUGCCACUUGAGCUAGGCUUGGGGGCCAUAAGUUAGAUAUUAAGAAUGCAUUCUUUCAUGGUGGUCUUCGAGAAGAUGUGUAUAUGGAGCAAAACCACCUGGUUUUAUUGCUCAGGGGGAGUAUGGGGAGUCUGUCAUAUGAAGAAGUCCUUGUAUGGAUUGAAGCAGAGUCCUCGAGCUUGGUUUGGAAAGUUCAAUAAGGUAGUUCAGAAUUUUGGGAUGAAAAUGAGCAAAUGUAAUCACUCGUUCUUUUACCAACAACCAACAUCUGGCACUAUCCUCCUUGUUGUAUAUGUUGAUGACAUUGUCAUCACAGUAAGUGAUUAUGUGGGAAUCUCUUCCCUCAAAUCUUUCUUGCAUACUAGGUUUCAUACAAAUGACUUGGGUCCGUCGAAAUACUUUUUGAGAGUAGAAGUAAACAGAAGCAAGAAGAGAAUUCUUCUGUCUUAGAGAAGUAUAUCCUUGACCUGCUUGCAGAUAUCAGAAAGUUAGCAGCCAAACCCUGUAGUACUCCAAUGGUUCCCAAUGUGCAUUUUAUGAAAGAUGAUGGUGAUUCUUUUGAUGAUCUCGAGAGAUAUAGAAGGUUAGUUGGGAAGUUAAACUACCUUAUUGUGACUCGUCCAGAUAUUGCUUUUGCGAUAAGUGUUGUUAGCCAAUUCGUGUCUGCACCUACGAUCAAACAUUAGGAAGCUUUGGAACAGAUCCUAUGUUACUUAAAAGGAGCUCCUAGACUUGGCAUAUUGUAUAGCAAUCACGAUCAUACUCGUGUGGAGUGUUUUGGAGAUGCUGGACUUGGCAUAUUGUAUAGCAAUCACGGUCAUACUCGUGUGGAGUGUUUUGCAGAUGCUGACUAGGCUGGAUCCAAAAUUGAUAGAAGAUCUACUACAGUCUAUUGUGUUUUUGUUGGAGGGAACCUAGUAUCAUAAAGGAGUAAGAAUUAAGGUAUUGUAUCUCGAUCCAAUGCACAAUCUGAAUAUAGAGCUAUGUUACAGUCUAUAUGUGGAUACAUCAUCUUUUAUCUGAAAUUGGGUUGAAACAUCAUACCCUAGCAUAACUCUAGUGUGAUAAUCAAGCUUCUCUUCAUAUUACCUCAAAUCCGGUGUAUCGCGAAAGAACUAAACAUAUUGAAGUUGAUUGUUGUUUUAUUCGUGAGAAGAUUCAGGAGAAUUUGAUUUCCUUUGGCUAUGUGAAGACAAGAGACCAACUAACUGAUUUGUUUACAAAAGCGUUGAAUGGAACUCGAGUUGAUUACCUUUGUAACAAGCUGGGCAUGAUCAAUAUCUAUGUUCCAGCUUGAGGGGGAGUGCUACAGAAUCUGUAUAAUAAUGAAUAUAGAUAAUAUAGUUGAUUUUAGGGAUUUGAAUAUUUCGUUACCAUAGUUGGCUUAUUCUCUCCAUGUAUUUAUAUCAUUGUUCUCUUUGAGUAAUGUACAAGUUAUUCUCAAUACCAUACGAAUUAUAUGGAAUUUUCACAACACAUGUGUUUGGCCUAAUCAACAUUGAAUUCACAUUUUCAAUUCAUUAGACAAAAGUUCAACAUGUCACACACGUUGUCCAUUCUAACCAAUGGAAAAUUGAUAAUUUAAUCAUCUUCUUGAUUAAAGUAGGUGUCUCAUCAUAAAUGUUAGAACAUGAAUAGGUUUAUACAAUCCUAUUAGAAUAGAAAUAGGUUUAUACAAUCCUAUUUAGAAUAAGAAUAGGAAUAGUAAAUAGUAUUAGUAGGUAAAGGUUUGUAUUCUACUGUCUAUAAAUAUGAUCUCAAUGUAAUAAUGUACACACAACAGCAAUUCAAUAAUAUUCUUCUCUUAUAUUUCUCACAUGGUAUCAGAGCCUCUACGAUCUUGGUAGAGAAUCAAAGAGCUUUCGCAGCCGACGGGUGGCUAUUACCCAUAUAUGUUGUCCGUCUGGCCAAUGAUUAUGUUAACAAAAGUAGGAUCAAUGAUAUAUGCAUGAACAUAUUCAAGGGAAGAAAACUCAGUUAAACAGGUCACCGUGCGUCAAUUUCCGGUGAUUUUCUAGGACUGUUUUAUGUCCACCCCAUAUCUGUCGGUAUUUGUGUAGCACUGUGCCAUCUUUUCGGUGACUAAUUUUUCAUAUUUAAUUUGUGUAGCACCGUUCCAUCUUUCUGGUGACUACCUUUUUUUGCAUAUUUGAUUUGUGUAGCACCGUGCAUCUCUCUGGACUACUUUUCAUAUUUAAUUUGUGUAGUAUCGUGGAUUUUUCCGAACUACUUUCUCACAUCUAAGUUGCAUAGCACCGUGUGUCUUUUCAGUGACUCCUAAGAUUUGAUUUAUUUGAUUUGCAUAGUUCCAUUCGUCUUUCCGGUGACUCCUCAAAUCUGAUUUCUGUAGGGUUGUGCCAUCACUCUGACCCUACCCAUAUUAUUUCUCUUUUCCAAUAGGGUCGUGCCAUCAAUCCGACCUUUCCUAAAUAAUUUCUAUUUUCUAGUUGGGUCGUGCCAUUAUUCCGACCCUACCCAUAUAAUUUUAUUUCUUAGAUUAUGACCACUUUCAGCCAUCAAAUCUAAUACUCCGGCGUAUGAGCAUGUUUCGGCCAAUUUUUGGUGACUUUCUUGUUUAAUAUAGACUCAUCUAUUGAUUCCAACACGAUAUAUAUACUUUACUUUAUACUAGAUUUUGAGCACUUUGUUGCUCGGGGGAAUUUAGUGCCUUGUAUGUCGAUUAUGUGAGUCACUCUAUGGUCUGAAACAGUCUUUGCAAGUUUAGUUUGGGAAGUUCAACACUGUAAUUUUAUCACUCUGUGUUUUAUUGACAUUAUGCAUCAAAUUUAGUAUUUCAUGAGAAAAUUAAGCACAUUGAGAUUGACUGACAUUAUGCGUCAAAUCCAAUAUUUAAUGAGAAGACAAGCACAUUGAGAUUGACGGUCAAAUUUGUGAAGUCGGCUGAUCAACUUGCAGAUAUCUCACCAAGCUCUUCAUUGGUCCUCGUAUUAAUUACAUUUGUAACAAGCUACGUACAUGAAUUGUAUGCACUAGCUUGAGGGGGAGUGUUAGAAUAUGAAUAGGUUUAUACAAUUCUAUUAGAAUAGGAAUAGNNNNNNNNNNNNNNNNNNNNNNNNNNNNNNNNNNNNNNNNNNNNNNNNNNNNNNNNNNNNNNNNNNNNNNNNNNNNNNNNNNNNNNNNNNNNNNNNNNNNNNNNNNNNNNNNNNNNNNNNNNNNNNNNNNNNNNNNNNNNNNNNNNNNNNNNNNNNNNNNNNUUUAUACAAUCCUAUUAGAAUAGGAAUAGAUUUAUACAAUCCUAUUAGAAUAGGAAUAGAUUUAUACAAUCCUAUUAGAAUAGGAAUAGAUUUAUACAAUCCUAUUAGAAUAGGAAUAGAUUUAUACAAUCCUAUUAGAAUAGGAAUAGAUUUAUACAAUCCUAUUAGAAUAGGAAUAGAUUUAUACAAUCCUAUUAGAAUAGGAAUAGAUUUAUACAAUCCUAUUAGAAUAGGAAUAGAUUUAUACAAUCCUAUUAGAAUAGGAAUAGGUUUAUACAAUCCUAUUUAGAAUAGGAAUAAGAAUACAAAUAGGAAUAGGAAUAGUAAAUAGUAUCCUACUUGGUAAAAGAUUGUAUUCUAGUGUCUAUAAAUAGGAUCUCAAUGUAAUAAUAUAGACACAACAACAAUUCAAUAAUAUUUUUCCCUUGUAUUUCUCACAGUAAAGAAAGAAAGGGUAAAAAUAGGACCAUUGUAUACCGUUUCCCAAAUCCAAAAAGAGGAUAUGGAUAAGAAUUUGUAAAAAUCAUUAGACAUGAGUUCAACAUGUCACCCCCGUUCUUCAUUCUAAAUAUAGAUAAGAAAACGUUGAAAUUCCCCUAAGACCAUUUCAGUCAAUUUGACAAGUGUUCUAGUGAUUUCCAUCCAUAACUUUGUGAAUGCUCUUCUGGAACCAGUGGUUGUAUGGAAGUGGUCAAAACUUCACCACUUAACAGUUGAAUAACCUAGCUUAGUAGUGUCACUGAUUGAUUUGGUACUCUUGCUGUGUAAGGUGACUGCCAGUAAAAAAGACAAUAUUGCCACCCAGUAACAACUGAUAUGAUCCAUAGGAGAUAAAAAUCCUGAACAUGAGCAAGAAAAUAACCUAAAGCCCGACAGAAUCACUAGAAGCACACACUUGUAAGAAGAAAAUCCUUAUUUCAGAAGCAUCAACUAGCAGGACUGAGAAAUAUAGGCAGGAUAAAAAAUAGUCUAAUUGUACAAUGAUAAGAAAUAGCUGUAUAAAUAUGACAUUAGAUCACAGUUUACAAGAAGCAUAGUCCAUAUUAACUAUGUAUUAUCUGCAUACAUAAAAGUUAAACAUGAAGCUGCUCUUCAAGGCUUCUUUAUGGUCUCCAGGAUCCCCAGGUAGCUUAGUAUGACUAGGUUCAUUUAAAAUUCCAGAUGCUUUAAGAGUGUCUAUAGUAGAGCAUGGGUUAUCCAGGUAGCUUAGCAUGAAUAAGUUCAGUUAAAUAUUUUAGAUGUUUUAUGAGUCUAUAAUAUUUAUUUAGAAGAUUCAUAAGUGAGAGUCUCAGCAGAGCAUUCUCAAUAAGAACUAGAAAACAUACUAGAUGCAGAUACCCAAGGGCAGCAAAACUUAACCAUUGCAAACAGUGAAAAUAAGGAUAAGAGCUUUCAGUCUCUUCAGUCAUUAGCUAAAAAGUUAGAAAAAAAUUAUUCUGGGCGAGGCACACAUACUGUCAGUUGUGUGAGGCCUCUUUUGGCUGCCACAUGUAUACUGUGGGACCCAUAAUGUACUUAUUUCCUUACUUUUUCUUUUCCAAUUUUAAUCUUUUCUUUUACUUUUUCUUUCUUACCAGCAUUUUCUUUUUUGUUUGUUAAUUCUUAGUGUAAAUUUUAUUUUUUAUUUUUUGUUUUAAUAAAGAAACUUUGAAACUCACCCCACGGUAUCUAUUAUAUAUUUUAUAAAUCUAUUACUAUUUAUUUUGUAGGGGAAAUUAAAGUAAUAUGUCGAAAAAUUAAAUUUAUUUAUUUUUGGAUGAAUUCAAGAAAAAUUGAGGAUAGUGAAUUUAAAAAAAAUUGAAAAUUUCUUCAAUAAAGUAAAAAUUCAUGUAAUCAACCAAUUGAACUACUAAAAUUCAAUCGGCAUUAUUUAUUAUACUUAAAUAUAUAAUUUAAUUUUAAUUAUUUAAAUUUUAGUCUCUUUUAUUUUGAGAUUUCAAUUUUAAUCACUCAAUUCUUAGUUAUCAAAUAUGUUUUUUUUAUUUUUGUUUAUGCUUAAUAUUAAUAAUAAUGUAUUAAUGAUAUCAAACACUCAAUUAUCUUUUCUUUUCCAGAUUUGUUAAAUUUUCCACUUCUAUGGCAUGUAUCCAAUAAAUAUUGCCAAUAUUGAUUUUGUGUUUCUCGUUAAAGAUUUUUUUUUAUGUUUAGUAUCUUAAAAUGUGAAACGAAACUUUUAUAGAUUCAUUUUUUUCUUGUGGGUUACGAAAAUUAAUAGAAAAAAGAGUCAACCAAAUGAAUUUGUGAAAGCACAAAAUAAAUAAUUGCAUGAAUAUAUUUAUUUUCACUAAAGGUAGGACUACAAAAAAAAAAAAAAAGGCAGUAAAAAUAUUGGUAAAGAAAAGGGUAAAAUUUGAGAAAAUGGAAGUGAGGGAGAGACAGUGUGACAAUAAGAGGGACCCACAGAAAACACAUGUCAAAAGGAAAUGGUGCCCUCACACAACUAUUGUUGGUUGUGCCUCAACCACCAUAAAAUUUUUCAACAAGUUAAUCUAAGAUGACUUGAAAAUUGUAAGGAUCCAGGUAAAAUAAUGUCAGACCUUGAUAAAAAUGCAGGUUAUUAAAGCCGCUGAAUAUAUUAGUUGGCUAUUUGAGCAUAUGAUUACCCAAAAGUUGGUUUUCUAUCAAUUGAAGAUUCGUUGGAAGAGUCGGUUCUUUUGGGGAAAUAAGAAGCCUUGCCUUUGUGCCAGACAGUGAUAACAGGGUAAUAAAUGCUAAUGAAAGAACACACCACGAGUUCCUUUCAGAGAACUAGGAGGUGGAGCUGACCUUCAAAUGCAAGAAUGUAAAAGCCUACAAUGAUGCUAGUGCCAAGAACACAAGUUGGAGUUUCAUGGUCAAUGAUCUGCUACUAUGACCUUUUCUAUAAGCAACUCGAGUAAGAGCAUAGAUGAGUUGAAGAUGGAGUUUUGUUUGGUUAUAGUUUAUGAAAACAAUAUUUGGUUGGUUGAAUAUCCUUUUCAUAAAAAUACAUCAAAUAUUAAUUUUAAUGGGGUCAUUUUUACAAAAUAAAAAAUUGAGGGUAAAAUUUGAAAAAGAAAAAUAUAUUUGUUAGAAUAGGAAUAUGAAUUAGUAUAUAGAAUCCUACUUGGUUCUCACAUGGUAUCAAAGCAUCAGUGAGAAAAUAUAUGUAGUGCAAUAUUCUAGCGAAGUUCCAGGAGAAAAAUCACCACCAUGCAUAAUUUUUCCGGUGGCUGCUCAGUGCUCACAUCACAAUCUUUAUCUAGUAGUGUUGUGCAAAAUCCGACACUACCACAGCAUAGAUCACGUUCAGUCGAGAAAACCCUAGUUUGUCGCUCCAAGAAAACAAUCCCCCAUGUGGUCUCACGCGCUUCUCGAAGGUCCUACACCUGCGUGUGAGAAAUCUUUUGGCCACUUAUCUAUCAGAUUUCUUUUUCCAGUAGGUCAUCCGUCAUUCCGACCAUACUCAUAUAAUUUUCCAAAUCACUUUGUGCCUGUCAGAUCUAAUUUUGCAGUGACACAAAUAAGUCUUUACCAGAUUCCAACAACGACUUAUAUUUCUUUUCAGAAUUUAGGUUACAAAAUUCUAAUUUCACAAGUUGUCUUAGAGACUCCUAGCAUUACCGUCUCAUCCAUGUUGGACACUUGGAGCAUGUCAUAGUUCAAGCUUGUCCAACCACAAGCUAUUUUCAAAAUGAAAUAGGAUUCCUCCUCUAACAUGCUAGAAAUUUAGAGCAUAGCAUAUGAAAUCCUUAAUGUACUUCCACAUAAUGGCACCUAUUUGCGUCUCAAACGAUUGCAGUUUGUAAUUGCCUCUUUAUCUCUUUUAACUACUCAUAAUUGUUGAUGUAUAAUAACCCUUUCUCCAUGUCGACAUACAGUCAUCUCCACCAAAGCAUAGGGAUAUCCUUUAGGAGCAUUGAUGUAAGGUUGACUAUUGCAAGAUUAAACUAUGUUUCAAUUCAAGUGCUAAAUUGGUUAUAUAAGAUCAUAAUUACUAAAUAGAAAUAAUUUAUUAAAAUAACAUAUGAUUAUUAGUAAUCUAAUUGUAGUGUGUAAGUCAAAAGACAUACUUAAAAUUGCAAAAUUAUUUUUAUAUUACAAAAAUUAACUUUGUGACUUCAAUGCAAUGAAUUAAAAGUUAAAUGAACAUUUCUAUGAAAUUAACCACUUGGAUUAUUCAAAUACUAAAGAAAGAGAUUAACUACUUGUCCAAUAUUACUUCUGAUUAAAGAAGGCAAUCAAAUAGAUGUUCCUCUAACGCUAGAAAGAGAGCUCAAAAAUGAGGUCAUCAUAGAUCCACCCCCUCCCUCCGUCUUUCCAAUUAAAGAGAACAAAGAAGAAAAGGCACAAAUAUUUGCAUCCAAUCAUAUAAACAUACACUUCUUUUAAUGUGGGGAUAAUGUAAAGAAGAGGAACAUAAAAUGAUAGAUGGGAACUCCAUUAAUGUGGAAGGAGUGGUGGAGACAAAUUAAACAAUGGAGUCAAACUAAUUGAAAUUACAUGUGAAGAAAAAGAAAAAAAGGACUAAGUGAGGCAACGAAACAACUUAAGGUUUAAAAGGAAUAUGCAAAGGUCCUGAUCUUUUCGAACCAAAAAUGUGUGCUCGAUCUAGAGCUCGUAGACUACUAUCGCAUGCUCAUAAACCAAGUUUAACAUUUAGAGCUGUCAAUAUGGGCUGGCCCACCCCAUCCGAGCUAACCCAUACAGGCUUUGAAAUUUGACGGGUCAGGCCAGGCUAGCCCAUUUUUGGUGUGGGCCAGAAAAUGGUCGGCCCAGCCCACAAGUACGUGGGCUACGGGCUUGCCGGGCCAGCCCUCUUUUCGUAAAAAUAUAUUUUUUAUAAUUUUUUAAAUUAAAUUAUAAUUUAAAAUAUUAUCAUAAAUAUUGACAAGAUAAUAUUACAUGGUGUUAGUGUUACUACUUGUUAAUUAAAUCCACAAAUAAAAUUAUCUUUAUAAUAUUUAUUAAGUUUGAUUUCAAGUAAAAGCAUAAAUAGCUAAAUAAAAAUCUAAACCUAAUUGUGUUCCAAUAAUCAUAAUAAAACACAAAAAACUAUGACAAUAUUCCAUAGGCUACGGCCUAUGUAGUGAUUCCUAGAAAUUUUAGGGUAUUUUUAUUUUACGUAAUACGUAUUUUAUAAACAUAAUUUGUAUUUAAAUUGUAAUAUUUCAAACUUUAAACUGAUCUUGAGUUUAGACUCUUGUUAAUUUUAAUACUCUAUUUUAUUUUUUAUUUUUUAAUUAAUUUUUAUUUGGCCCACGGGCCGGCCCUAUCCAUAUUUCUCAAUUCCCACAAAUCGGCAGGCUUAUUCAGGCCAGGCUAAAAAGUCCUUUCUUAAAUGGCUCCAAAAAUCGCAGCCUAGCCCUAUCAAAUCCCGGGUUAGGCCAGACCGGCCCAACGGUCCUAGCCCAUAUUGACGGCUCUAUUUAACAUCCAAUGGUAGUAAUAUAAAGCAACAAUUUAUCCCCAAGUUUUGGAAGACAUACAAUAACAGGUCUUCCAAGGAAGAAGAUGUUGAGUAUUUGUUGGGCACACAAUUGGUUGCUCCCAAUUGAAUUUUAUAUAGCAAAGUAAAGAACUCCUUCGAUUUUAUAAUUCUUACACUCAAUUUUUCAUGCACUCACACUCGAGCAAACUCUCUAUGUUACUCUCUCUUAUUUCUCACUUGAUCAUUCCUUACUUGAGCUCAACCUAUUUGAGCGCACACUCUUUAUUUGGGUACACCUUAUUGAGCAUACACACAUCUCAAAUGAACCACCUCUAUUUAUAAGUGGUGAUGGAAGAAUUUAGUUAAGGAUAUUUACUACUCUAUUCUAGAAUGUUUCUCCAACUAUUUAAUUCUAAAACGACUCUUUCUAUAAUAUUUCUAGACUUCUGUGAGGAAUACUCAUUCUAGAGAUCCUUCUUCAAUUCUUCUACAACUAUUGAAUAAUCUAGAUUUUUCUUUGAAAUAUCUUAAAUAUUAAUUAAGUUGGUGAUAAAUACUUAACACUACCCCUCAAUGCCAACUUAAUGUGUUAUGUGUGUUCGUCAUGAGCGAUCCCUGAAACUCUACAAGCAACAUGAUGUCCAUGCCCUUUCAAAAUCUCAAUCUCUGCCGGAUUACUCUGAUCCCUAUGCUUUAAAGCUUUUUCAAAGGUAGUAGACUAUUCGAUCUUGACCACCUCAACUAAUUUUUGUUGCAUAUGUAUAUUUGUCGUUUGGGCAUUUCAGUCGUGUCGAUCUUCUUAGUUGAGGUUGUAGAGCUUAUUGGACUCCUUACAACUCUUGAGGGGUUUCAUGUACUCUAGUUUGCCAUGGGAUCUUAUUUUAUCCUUUUGAAGAUAGCUCUUUUGUAUGUGAUUUGUAUUUUCCCUAUACCUUCUUCAAGUUAAUGUUGUAACUCUUGCUCUAGUUCUCUUGAAUCUGGUACGACUGAUUUGUACCACCAUGUUGGUGCUUCAUCAAAUACCACAUAAGGUAUUUCAGCUGGUAUGCCAUAGAUUUACUCUAAUCUUCUUCUCUAGAUGAUUGACGUGCUUGUGACUUUCAAAUUUUGAUAUACUUUAUGUCAUUUGGCCCAAACAAGACAACUUCCUGAAUUUGUUAGUUGUGACACAGAUAUAAGUUCGUCAUAGACAUGAUAGAUAUUUUGAAGUUCCACUUGUCUCGGGCUAUGACGAAGCACAAACACGUCUUACCAAUAUUAUAAGUUAUUGGCAUUUUUGAAUUACUUGUAGUCACCACUACUUACCACCUUUAUAUUCGCUCAUGUCGAUAAGCUUUUCACAUCACUUGUCAUAUGAUUGGAGCAUCACAAAUUAAUGAUUCAAUCAUAUGCUCAUAACUGAUAAGUUUAUCAUUUACAGUUGCAAGAUCUAGCUUCCUUUCUUCGUUAGAGUGAGAGGUGAGAAGCUCUUACGGUUGAUUUAUUUCCGGUAUUCCCAUUCCCUUGGCCGUGAGCUUCUCUUCAUCCCCUUUUUCAGUAGCAUUGCCUUUUGCUGAAGAGUGCCUUAUCUUCAUUUUUUUAAUAAGAACACUUGAUAAUGGUUUCUCCAAAGUCUUCUUCAUUUACCAAUAAAUUUUCCAACACAGAUAAAGUUGGUUCGCUGGCCAAACCAGCGUGUGGCCGUAAUUAUGUCUCUAUACUCCAAGUUUAGACAUGAACCAUGAUUCUCCUCAUCCUUGUCUCUCUGAUAGUAUUCUUUGGAUCUAAUUUUGAUAUUUCAUUAGAUAAACAUUUUACCUUUGAGAAGUAUUGUUUGAUCUUCAUCAUCCGUUGUGAGAUCGACAAAACUCAUUUUCAAGUUGUAAUCGCGCAUCAUUUUUAUCAGAUGAGAUCGUCGUCAAAGUUGCUACCUCAUUCUUUACCCACUCGACUUUAAUACCACUUGUUGAGAAUUGUUGGGCUCAUAACUUGAAUUUCAUUAUGUCAUUGCAAAGUAAGGAUCCACUUCGGUCUUACAAUUCUUUUUUUUUUUAUGACAAGGGAAACCCGCAGCCGCUACCCUUUGGGGGCGCACAGGAUAAAACCCCCGCUCCUAUGUAAUAGCUCGCAAACCACAUAGGAGAGGUAAUCCGCACUAGGCAAGCCCGAUGCGACGAGCUCGACCCAGAAGGCAAACCCCUUGCUUUCGCUGGCAAGGGAUUUCGAACUUGAGAUCUCCAACAUGGAAGUCUCAAGCCCAAACCAUUGGGCCACCCCGAAGGGUUCGGUCUUACAAUUCUUACCCUGUAUUUUUCUUGCACUCACACUCAAGCAACUCUCCUUUGUUGCUCUAUUUUAUUUUUAUCUUGAUCACUCACUUUCUUGUUUAUUUACUUGCUUGAACACUCAAUUUUUACUCGAGUUCAACUCAUUUACGCACUCUCUCUUUACUGAGUAAACCUUGUUGAGCACACACACCUCAAAUGAGCCACUUCUAUUUAUAUGUAGUAAUGGAAGAUUCUAUUUAUAGGUGGUGAUGGGAGAAUCUAGUUAAAGGAUGUUUACUAUUUUAUUCUAGAAUGUACCAACUAUUUAUUUCUACAAUAUUUUUAGACUCAGAGAAUACUCAUACUAGAGAUUUUUUCUUCAAUUCUCUAACACUCUUGAAUAUUUUAGAUUCUUCUUUAAAAUAUAUAUUAAUUAAGUUGGUGAUGAAUACUUACACGGUAGAUUCAUCAAAUUCCUUUCAUCCUUUAUAUCUUAUUGGACAUGCUCUACUAUCCCUAUAGGGCUUCCAAAUCUACAACAAAGAUGCACCCUUAUUCCUAACUUUGCUCUCUUUAGAAACAACCAGAUUAAAGAGUCCAUUCAUAAUUUUCAUGUACUAUGGUAGUAAAAUUUCAACUUUGAUGUGGUUAAUGGGUAUUUCAGUAUUGGUGUCCACAAUAGCAGAGGCGGACCCACCUUUACUAGUGGGGUGCAUGAGCACCCGUUAACUUCGAAAAAAAUCAUGUGUAUAUAUGUAUAUCUAUUUUGAGAAACUACGAUAUAAUUAACAAUGCACCCAUGAGGAGCAUAGGGGUGUUCUUGUGCUGCUUGUACAAGGCAGAGAACCACCGGGUUCGAAUCCAGCUAGAGUGCUAAAUUCAUUCGCCUCUGCACAACAGUAUAUUAUGACAUGCAGUAAACUCUCUACCCAUGUGAAACAUGCUCAAAGGCAAAGAAGACUUUUCUGAAUUCUGAGGCGUGAGGUAGAGCAUGAAAUAAAGACUUAUAUUCCAAUUAAAAUACGUACAAUGUUUUAGACACUGCGUAUGACAUAGGCGUCUGCGUUAGCUUAUAUAGCUUGACUUUAAUCCGAUAGGAAAAAACUGCUUUUGCAAAUAUCUAGGACUCAAAAAGUAUUAGUAUUAUCAUUAUAAUACUUUGUUCGUUAUAUUUUUCUUUUUUAAGUAUGUUAUAAUAAUAAAAAAAGUUUCCAUUAAAGGAUUUAGUGCUUUUUAAAACAUUACAUAUAUAUUUAUAAGGCUAAUUCAAAAAUCAAACUAACACGAGGAAGUAUUAUAAUAGAAAAAUCAAGCAUAUCAGUAUUUUGAAGUAAAAAAAAUAAAAAUAAAGAAGAACCUGUUGGUACUGGAGAAUUCAAAGAGGCGUCCACGGCUGGAGAAGACGAGGACGGCGACAUCAACAUCGCAGAGAAUAGAGAGCUGUUUGGCUUUCUUCAUGAGUCCAUUUCUUCGUUUGGAGAAAGUUGCUUGCCUACUGCUCUUAUCUUCAAUUCGCUUUAUUUCCACUUUCUUCCUUCCCAUUUCUUCAAACUCCCAAACCCUAACUAAUUCUCACAAAUGAAAAUGGCCGUAUAUAAGAAGCUUUGUACCUCCAUCUCCAUCACUUUCACGAAUUUCAUAAAGUGCUAUGAGUUUUAUGGUCUCUCCUCCUUUUUCGAAUCGUCGCAAUAAAGCCUUAAUUUCAUGUUUACUUAUAAUUCCCACGCCUAUUCGUCUUCUACUCUUUAGACCUCUAAUUCUAUUUAUUUUUUUACAGGGGUAACUAGGUGAAUAUAUAUAAAAUAGGGAAAAGUUACAUGUGUGAAAUCCAGCCAAUGAGAGAGCGACACCUGGCUCAAAAUGGAGAUUCCAACGGCGGAGGCGACUGCUAGCGGUGAUGGCGGCGUGGUGUUGUUAAAGAUAUAAGCGGUGAUUGGCUGAAGAAAACGGUGACACAGACUGGGUUGUUUUGAUUUGAAUUAGAAACUAGUAAAAUUAUCCGUACAGAAAUUUAUUAUCAUGAAAUUUCUAAAAUAAUACUUAAAAGGAAAAAUUCUUUUGGCCAGAAAAUUUGGCCAUAAUGGCCCAAAUACAUGUUCACACUAUAAAUUGAUUUAUUUUUUGAUAA
RNAcentral lists this long non-coding RNA (41415 nucleotides) under Solanum tuberosum (potato). RNAcentral describes it as "long non-coding RNA (STUB_LNC005550)". The record is from RNAcentral. Lineage: Eukaryota; Viridiplantae; Streptophyta; Magnoliopsida; Solanales; Solanaceae.